This 497-nucleotide ribosomal RNA is filed under the name uncultured bacterium. RNAcentral describes it as "partial 16S ribosomal RNA". It matches the Rfam family "Bacterial small subunit ribosomal RNA", at positions 28 to 507 of the family's 1533-position model. The record is from RNAcentral.
GAUGAACGCUGGCGGCGUGCCUAAUACAUGCAAGUCGAGCGAACGGACGAGAAGCUUGCUUCUCUGAUGUUAGCGGCGGACGGGUGAGUAACACGUGGAUAACCUACCUAUAAUACUGGGAUAAAUUCGGGAAACCGGAGCUAAUACCGGAUAAUAUUUUGAACCGCAUUGUUCAAAAGUAAAAGACGGUCUUGCUGUCACUUAUAGAUGGAUCCGCGCUGCAUUAGCUAGUUGGUAAGGUAAAGGCUUACCAAGGCAACGAUGCAUAGCCGACCUGAGAGGGUGAUCGCCCACAUUGGAACUGAGACACGGUCCAGACUCCUACGGGAGGCAGCAGUAGGGAAUCUUCCGCAAUGGGCGAAAGUCUGACGGAGCAACGCCGCGUGAGUGAUGAAGGUCUUCGGAUCGUAAAACUCUGUUAUUAGGGAAGAACAUAUGUGUAAGUAACUGUGCACAUCUUGACGGUACCUAAUCAGAAAGCCACGGCUAACUACGUG